Syngnathoides biaculeatus (alligator pipefish) is the source of this 1668-nucleotide long non-coding RNA. RefSeq lists it as uncharacterized. The record is from RefSeq and is a predicted model, not a curated record. Lineage: Eukaryota; Metazoa; Chordata; Actinopteri; Syngnathiformes; Syngnathidae. The transcript is spliced from 2 exons.
GCAGACUCCAUAACCGCCACGUGAAGUGGAUUAAUAGUUAAUCAGGAAGCGACAUCAAGCAGUCGCUGCAGUAAAAAUGAAACGGUGUAGAUCAAUGACGUGGUGUAGAUGUUGCUUGUUGUUCCCAGAUCAGCUAAAAGUUAGCCAUGCUGUUUCUAUUUCUUCUUCUACUACUCUUCUUCGACCCUUUGGUGUCAUGCUACUUCUCACAGGUCAGUGUUGGUACUGCACCAGACACCAGGUUUUAUGUGUGUGUGGGUCAUUUGGAGUGAGUACACCACAGCGGUAAGAACACGUAUAAUGUGUUUUAUAUUGCGUGGGGUCUGUCACCUUAAAAAAAAAUAAUAAUAAAUCAGUCACAAUGUUAAAAAUCAAUUUGUGCGAACAGGUACUAAAUUGUCAGUUGUACUUUAAAGGAUGAUGAGGGCAAACAGUCGAGGAAGAAGAAGUCAAAGGGAUGCCCGGUGUUUGUGUAUCAGAGGCAGAGGAUGAGAGGGGGGCAAAUCUUGAUUCCCGCUUACUCCAACCAAAACACCCUUUGAUGCCUCUUCGGGUGUUAACUACAUGAACGCUUCCCUCCGCGCUCUGUUGUGCGUUUUUGCGUCGCGUGAGUCUCAGCAGAGCUGAGGGGAGGUGCUGGUGGGGGAAGGCGCACCACAAGAAAGAGCACCCGGGAAAAUUAGAGAGGAGUACACUUAAGCGCUAACAGAAAGCAGAAAGAGCGGGACAGUGAGAUGGAGGAGAGGCAUUUUCAAAAGAAAAAAAAAAGACCGGGAUAAAAGACAUGUCCUUUAAAUUUCCUUGAACUAGCCGUAGCGUUUACAGCCCAUAUUAGGGCUGCAGGUGCCGAAGAUUGAUGUGAUGCUGUUGCUAUAAGGAUUCUCUCCUGGCAGACCGAGACAAGAACCGAAGUGAACCACUUCCCCAGAGGCGGUGCUGCAUGGAUUCUGCAUCGACCGACCGGUAGAGGUCCAGGAAAACCUCUGAGGGGAUGUCGUCGAUCUCUGUGAAGCUUGGGCCUGUGACAGCCCUUUUGAGAUUAAGGGCUAAAACAGUUAAACUGCAUUUGACCGGUUUUAUGUUUUUCAGAACUGCAUGUCAAUCGGAUGCCGCCGUACCAAAAGAGCACAUAAGCUGAAGUCACUCGAGUUCUUUGCGCGCUCAAAGCCAAGACGACACGCUGAAAUCACCAGUCAGGCGUCGUGCCAGUCAAUACCCCCACCCCCAAAGAAAACCCCAAAACCUGCAGAACACGAGACAGACCCAGAGCGCCGAGACCGACGUCGGCGAGGACCUCCAACGGCGUCUCGUUCUUCGGAAUUCUGUUGUUUACAUAAACUUUAAUCUUUUCCAUUCGCUGUCGGGGUCUGGGGAGUCGUGUGUGAGAAUGAGGGCAGGGCUGUGUGUUUACAUCUGUGCGCGUAUGUGUAUAAAGUGUGUGUUUGUACAUGUGCAUCUGCUACGGACUGGAUGCGCCGAAUUAGGCGUGCUGUUUAUUCGGCACAUUACAAGGCCAGGAGAUGUUUACGGCAUCUUAUUUACGCUACUCUAACUAGUCAGCUCCAACCCUACCCUGUUCGUCCAGACCGCAGGACCUCCAACAAAGACGACCCAAAUCCCUUUUUCUCACUUCUCGAAAAGACAAAUAAAAGAAUCAUAUCAUGUCGA